RNAcentral lists this non-coding RNA (232 nucleotides) under Perkinsus marinus ATCC 50983. RNAcentral's name for it is "Eukaryotic small subunit ribosomal RNA". It matches the Rfam family "Eukaryotic small subunit ribosomal RNA", at positions 1594 to 1831 of the family's 1831-position model. The record is from Rfam by way of RNAcentral. Lineage: Eukaryota; Perkinsozoa; Perkinsida; Perkinsidae.
UCGUCUUCAACGAGGAAUUCUAGUAAAUGCAAGUCAUCAGCUUGCGUUGAUUACGUCCUGCCCUUUGUACACACCGCCCGUCGCUCUACCGAUUGAGUGAUCCGGUGAGCUGUCCGGACUGCGAUUAGUUCAGUUUCUGUUCUCUUCGCGGGAAGUUCUGCAAACCUUAUCACUUAGAGGAAGGAGAAGUCGUAACAAGGUUUCCGUAGGUGAACCUGCGGAAGGAUCAUUC